RNAcentral lists this RNase P RNA (373 nucleotides) under Cerasibacillus terrae. RNAcentral's name for it is "Bacterial RNase P class B". It matches the Rfam family "Bacterial RNase P class B". From Rfam's summary of the family: Ribonuclease P (RNase P) is a ubiquitous endoribonuclease, found in archaea, bacteria and eukarya as well as chloroplasts and mitochondria. Its best characterised activity is the generation of mature 5'-ends of tRNAs by cleaving the 5'-leader elements of precursor-tRNAs. Lineage: Bacteria; Bacillati; Bacillota; Bacilli; Caryophanales; Bacillaceae. The record is from Rfam by way of RNAcentral.
AUACUUACGUAAUCGCUAUGCAUUUAAAUAUGUGUAGAGGAAAGUCCAUGCUCACACAAACUGAGAUGUUUGUAGUGUUCGUGCCUGACGAAAUCAUAAGUCAGGGUAAUAACGGCAACAGAAAAUCCUAAGUCCUUGUAGAUACGGAUGAAUAUGUUUGAAAGUGCCACAGUGACGAAGCUGGUUUGGAAACAAAUCAGGUGGAACGAGGUAAACCCCGCGAGUGAGCAACCCAAAUAUUGGUAGGGGCAUUCUUGAUUAGGGAACUCAACCGAAAAAGAGACAAGCGUAUACUUGUAGAUAAAUGAUUACGACCCUGGUACGAGGUUGACUACCGUUUGUAGUACAAAGGUACAGAACAUGGCUUAUCAAG